GGGUCAAUGGCGUACUUGGUUAACGCGUCUGUUCAACUGAUCUUCUUGUUGACAGGAUGUCCUCAGUUCGAGUCUGAGUUGACCGA
Non-coding RNA from Hymenopellis radicata, 86 nucleotides. The record is from the annotation of a GenBank genome assembly. NCBI's taxonomy places the organism in Eukaryota, Fungi, Basidiomycota, Agaricomycetes, Agaricales, Physalacriaceae.